This is a long non-coding RNA of Sycon ciliatum, 1113 nucleotides long. RefSeq lists it as uncharacterized. Lineage: Eukaryota; Metazoa; Porifera; Calcarea; Leucosolenida; Sycettidae. The transcript is spliced from 2 exons. The record is from RefSeq and is a predicted model, not a curated record.
CUUUCCUGCAGCAAUGUCUCCGGAUCGUGUAUCACCAAUUCACCAUGGCAACUACGAUCUAGGCCAUAGGAACGAAGUUCUGGAAGCGAUGUGGGGAACAUUCAAAAUUGCUACCUUCAUCUUCCAUACAUAUUGCUAAAACCGUAGAGGCGUUUGUCCCAGUGAUCGAGUUUGAAAGGAGAGGCGAUGGGGUCGUGCUGGCGCCACAGUACGAACUGUCAUCAGAAUGCCGAAAGUACUCUCCUCUUCACUCCACCCGUGGCAGAGCGAACUUGUCCUUUCGCAUCAGCACACGACAAAACCGUUGAAUCUUGUGACCGUGGUAUCUGAGCAGGAAAAUGGAGUGGUGCCGGUCUGUACCCUGUCAUCCCGGGGCGCCUGCAUGGCUUUGGCGUUUCGUUAGUCUUUUAGCCUGGCAAAGAUAUACAUGUACAGUACUGUGUACGCACACGAAACGAGCUACUGUUACAACUCGGUUCUGAUUGCGUGCUACUGUGUUCUAUAAUUAUACGGUGCUAUUCCGUGCCGAGUCCCAGUUUGCUGAUACCUCCAAGCUUGCAAGCCCUCAAGGUUCUCAAGUUCUUUGUAAAGUUCCCUGCCAAGAGCCAGCAGCGUGUGCCAUUAUGGAUCGCGAAGACGUCUCAGUUACCAAAACGUGGACGACGGUGAAGACCGACGACUUCGAGUACCAUGAGGAGACGACCAUUGUCAAAUCUGAAUAGGUCACGCCGAGAGGUAUUCACAAGGCUGACGCUGCCUAGCACUGGUAUCUACAGACUGGUAUGGAAGCGAUGCUUGCUUGCCAAACUGCCGAUACUCGCUCCAGGUAGCCGCCACCAGAGGUAGACAACACAGCAUUUCGUGGUGUGCUAUUGAAUUCUAGCUUUAGCGUUGUAUUGCAUGCACACAGAGUUCACGUGACAUUGGCACUCAUGCGAUUAUGAACAUCAUGCGAUCAUGUACUAGUAUUUGCCAUGGGCCGCAAGGCCCCUUACCUCUACACCGAGUUGACCAUGUCUCAUUACUGUACAAUUGCAAGUAAUAACGUCAUUGUUGCUUACAAUACCGAUCUUCUUAUCAGCUUUUAACUGAUAUUCUCAGUCUCUCAACUAA